UACGAAGGGGGCUAGCGUUGCUCGGAAUCACUGGGCGUAAAGCGCACGUAGGCGGACUCUUAAGUCGGGGGUGAAAUCCUGGAGCUCAACCCCAGAACUGCCUUCGAUACUGGGAAUCUUGAGUCCGGGAGAGGUGAGUGGAACUGCGGGUGUAGAGGUGAAAUUCGUAGAUAUUCGCAAGAACACCAGUGGCGAAGGCGGCUCACUGGGCCGGUACUGACGCUGAGGUGCGAAAGCGUGGGGAGCAAACAGG
This 253-nucleotide ribosomal RNA is filed under the name uncultured bacterium. RNAcentral's name for it is "partial 16S ribosomal RNA". It matches the Rfam family "Bacterial small subunit ribosomal RNA", at positions 524 to 776 of the family's 1533-position model. The record is from RNAcentral.